RNAcentral lists this ribosomal RNA (869 nucleotides) under uncultured archaeon. Its description in RNAcentral is "bacterial SSU rRNA". It matches the Rfam family "Archaeal small subunit ribosomal RNA", at positions 1 to 878 of the family's 1478-position model. The record is from RNAcentral.
CCCUUGGUUGAUCCUGCCGGACCCGACUGCUAUCAGAGUGGGACUAAGCCAUGCGAGUCAACAUAGCAAUAUGUGGCAUACGGCUCAGUAACACGUAGUCAACAUGCCCAGGGGACGUGGAUAACCUCGGGAAACUGAGGAUAAACCGCGAUAAGUCACUACUUCUGGAAUGGGUAAUGACUCAAAUCUACAUGGCCCCUGGAUUGGACUGCGGCCGAUCAGGCUGUUGGUGAGGUAAUGGCCCACCAAACCUGUAACCGGUACGGGCUCUGAGAGGAGGAGCCCGGAGAUGGGCACUGAGACAAGGGCCCAGGCCCUAUGGGGCGCAGCAGGCGCGAAACCUCUGCAAUAGGCGAAAGCCUGACAGGGUUACUCUGAGUGAUUUCCGUUAAGGAGAUCUUUUGGCACCUCUAAAAAUGGUGCAGAAUAAGGGGUGGGCAAGUCUGGUGUCAGCCGCCGCGGUAAUACCAGCACCCCGAGUGGUCGGGACGUUUAUUGGGCCUAAAGCAUCCGUAGCCGGUUCUACAAGUCUUCCGUUAAAUCCACCUGCUUAACAGAUGGGCUGCGGAAGAUACUAUAGAGCUAGGAGGCGGGAGAGGCAAGCGGUACUCGAUGGGUAGGGGUAAAAUCCGUUGAUCCAUUGAAGACCACCAGUGGCGAAGGCGGCUUGCCAGAACGCGCUCGACGGUGAGGGAUGAAAGCUGGGGGAGCAAACCGGAUUAGAUACCCGGGUAGUCCCAGCUGUAAACGAUGCAGACUCGGUGAUGAGUUGGCUUCUUGCCAACUCAGUGCCGCAGGGAAGCCGUUAAGUUUGCCGCCUGGGGAGUACGGUCGCAAGACUGAAACUUAAAGGAAUUGCCGGGGGAGCA